This 202-nucleotide long non-coding RNA is filed under the name Elaeis guineensis (African oil palm). RNAcentral describes it as "long non-coding RNA (EGUI_LNC073000)". The record is from RNAcentral. Lineage: Eukaryota; Viridiplantae; Streptophyta; Magnoliopsida; Arecales; Arecaceae.
GUUGGGGAAUCUUUGGUUCAAAAUCUAUAAUUCUUAAUUUUGAGGGUGAAGAGGUAGAACAACUAUGUCUGGAUGGGUUUAUUUGGCCUUGUGAGGAUUCUAACCUAUAACUUGAGCUUCGUUGAAUUCCUCUUUGAAAUCUAAUAGAGACAUCUCCUUCAAAAUUUGUAAUGAUUGUAUCUAAUUUACUUUGUUCUUUCCU